GACGAACGCUGGCGGCGUGCCUAAUACAUGCAAGUCGAGCGGAUUGAUGGGAGCUUGCUCCCAUCAGUCAGCGGCGGACGGGUGAGUAACACGUGGGUAACCUGCCUGUAAGACUGGGAUAACUCCGGGAAACCGGGGCUAAUACCGGAUAACUCAUUUCCUCGCAUGAGGAAAUGUUGAAAGGUGGCUUUUAGCUAUCACUUACAGAUGGACCCGCGGCGCAUUAGCUAGUUGGUGAGGUAAUGGCUCACCAAGGCGACGAUGCGUAGCCGACCUGAGAGGGUGAUCGGCCACACUGGGACUGAGACACGGCCCAGACUCCUACGGGAGGCAGCAGUAGGGAAUCUUCCGCAAUGGACGAAAGUCUGACGGAGCAACGCCGCGUGAGUGAUGAAGGUUUUCGGAUCGUAAAGCUCUGUUGUUAGGGAAGAACAAGUACCGUUCGAAUAGGGCGGUACCUUGACGGUAC
This 469-nucleotide ribosomal RNA is filed under the name Bacillus sp. CC2. Its description in RNAcentral is "bacterial SSU rRNA". It matches the Rfam family "Bacterial small subunit ribosomal RNA", at positions 28 to 478 of the family's 1533-position model. The record is from RNAcentral. Lineage: Bacteria; Bacillati; Bacillota; Bacilli; Caryophanales; Bacillaceae.